AACAGAUUUACUUCGGUAAUGACGUUAGGGAAGCGAGCGGCGGAUGGGUGAGUAACACGUGGGGAACCUGCCCCAUAGUCUGGGAUACCACUUGGAAACAGGUGCUAAUACCGGAUAAGAAAGCAGAUCGCAUGAUCAGCUUUUAAAAGGCGGCGUAAGCUGUCGCUAUGGGAUGGCCCCGCGGUGCAUUAGCUAGUUGGUAAGGUAAAGGCUUACCAAGGCGAUGAUGCAUAGCCGAGUUGAGAGACUGAUCGGCCACAUUUGGACUGAGACACCGCCCAAACUCCUACGGGAGGCAGCAGUAGGGAAUCUUCCACAAUGGACGCAAGUCUGAUGGAGCAACGCCGCGUGAGUGAAGAAAGUUUUCGGAUCGUAAAGCUCUGUUGUUGGUGAA
RNAcentral lists this ribosomal RNA (394 nucleotides) under uncultured Lactobacillus sp. RNAcentral describes it as "bacterial SSU rRNA". It matches the Rfam family "Bacterial small subunit ribosomal RNA", at positions 68 to 446 of the family's 1533-position model. The record is from RNAcentral. Lineage: Bacteria; Bacillati; Bacillota; Bacilli; Lactobacillales; Lactobacillaceae.